UACGGAGGAUGCGAGCGUUAUCCGGAUUUAUUGGGUUUAAAGGGUGCGCAGGCGGAAUGUCAAGUCAGCGGUAAAAUUUCGGGGCUCAACCCCGUCGUGCCGUUGAAACUGACACCCUUGAGUGAGUGAGAAGUACGCGGAAUGCGCGGUGUAGCGGUGAAAUGCUUAGAUAUCGCGCAGAACCCCGAUUGCGAAGGCAGCUUACUAAGCCAUAACUGACACUGAAGCACGAAAGCGUGGGGAUCAAACAGG
RNAcentral lists this ribosomal RNA (252 nucleotides) under uncultured Bacteroidales bacterium. RNAcentral describes it as "partial 16S ribosomal RNA". It matches the Rfam family "Bacterial small subunit ribosomal RNA", at positions 524 to 776 of the family's 1533-position model. Lineage: Bacteria; Pseudomonadati; Bacteroidota; Bacteroidia; Bacteroidales. The record is from RNAcentral.